GGCUGGUCCAAGUGCAGUGGUGUUUACAACUAAUUGAUCACAACCAGUUACAGAUUGCUUUGUUCCUUCUCCACUCCCACUGCUUCACUUGACUAGCCUAAA
Unclassified non-coding RNA from Cavia porcellus (domestic guinea pig), 102 nucleotides. It matches the Rfam family "Y RNA". Rfam says of the family: Y RNAs are components of the Ro ribonucleoprotein particle (Ro RNP), in association with Ro60 and La proteins. The Y RNAs and Ro60 and La proteins are well conserved, but the function of the Ro RNP is not known. The record is from Ensembl. NCBI's taxonomy places the organism in Eukaryota, Metazoa, Chordata, Mammalia, Rodentia, Caviidae.